AAAAGUUUGGCAAUGAAAAAAGAAGUUAUAAAUUGUAAUGAUCCUAAAAUAUACAUCAAUUAUUUGACAGAUGCCCAUGUUAUGUGGAUCCACAGCCAUACUGUAAGAUGGUUCAGAAUCCUGCCUCCAAGUGCUGCAUGAAACCCUCGUGCAAUGCUUGUUCACAAACACCUACACCACAGACAUACACACCAGAUUUGCAAUGCAUGCUACUAUCCCACAAGGCUGUGGACUGGUUCCUGACCCAAAAGAGCCCUCGUGCUGCUGGGUACCAAGUUGUUUGAUCCCUCCGAAACAAACCAUUGGUACAGUGGUUGCUCCUGAACCUACUGGAACGGUAACAGCUGCUUGUAUAUAAAAUGGUCAAGUCUACAAAUAAGGGGCUGCAUCAUCAGGACAGAUGAGUGUAAAUAUAAUUGUGAAUGUAUAGAUGUAAUGGUGGACAGUACAAGUGUACAGAAAGGUGUGCUGUAUGUGACCUUGACUCGCCUUGCUGCAACCUUGACACUCCUUACUGCAACCUUUACACCCCUUGCUGCGACAUUGACACUCCUGCAAAGUUGUUUCCCUGCAUGUAUCCAGACACAUGAAGGGCUGGUGGCUAUGUUCUCAUACUGAUGCUAAUCCAUAUUUUGUUUACAAUACUUACCUCCUUAUACGAGUUCAAUGUAUUUGGAUAUGUUCAUCCAAAAGAGUGUGAUUCAAAUGAUUAAAUAAUGGGUUUCUUGCAGCUUUAUCUGGCACCACUAAUGUCAACUAGAUUCUACUUUGACAGUAAAUAAAUCAUAAUUCAUAUUCCAAUCUUCCAGACUGAAGUGUUUACAUAUUUAUAUGCCACUAUGUUCUGGUGUGUUUGUUUCAGUGCCAUCAUGUAGGUGAUAUGCACUAUAUUUAAAAACUGCAUAUAUAAACUUUGAAUGAAGAUUUUACAUCUGAUUUCUAAAUCCGACCUUAGAUGUUAUUAGAAAUAACAUUUUCACAGCAGUAACUACUUAAUACUUUAUUCUAACAUAAAACUGCUGUUAUUGUCACUUUUCGGGGGUUUUUUAACAGGAGAGAAAACAUGUGUUAACAAGGAGAUUCUCGCGCUUGCGUGCUGUUAUAACACCAUUUUAUAUAUGUGCGUUCCGUGGCAAAGCGUAAACGCCAUUCGGCCCCAAAAUGGAUAAUUCAAAACAAAAUGACGUCAACCUAAAAAACAACUCAGGCAUUCCCGCGCAUUUCGUGGAAAUUUAAUGACAUUGAGUGACAUUGUAUAUUGCUCAUGUAGCAUUGCCUAGUGGACCUCUACAAAAUAUAUUCAAAUCCUGACCCCCGGGGUCAAAAUUGACCCCGUCCCAUGGGUCACUUGAUUUUACAUAGGAAAAUCUUCAAAAAUUUUCUAAAAAUAAACCAGAAGGCCUAGAGCUUAGAUAUUUGAUGUGUAGCAUUGCCUAGUGGACCUCUACAAAGUUUGUUCAAAUCAUGACCCCCAGGGUCGAAAUUGACCCCGCCCCAGGGGUCAUUUGAUUUUACAUAGGAAAAUCUUCAAAAAUUGUCUAAAAAUAAACCAGAAGGCCUAGAGCUUAGAUAUUUGACAUGUAGCAUUGCCUAGUAGACUUCUACAAAAUUUGUUCAAAUCAUAACCCCCGGGGUAAAAUUGACCCCACCCCCUGGGAUUACUUGAUUUUACAUAGAAAAAUCUUCAAAAUUUUCUAAAAAUAAACCAGAAGACCUAGAUCUUAGAUAUUUGACCUGUAGUAUUGCCUAGUAGACUUCUACAAAAUUUGUUCAAAUCAUGACCCCGGGGUAAAAUUGGCCCCGGGGUUACUUGAUUGUACAUAGAAAAAUCUUCAAAAUUUUCUAAAAAUAAACCAGAAGGCCUAGAGCUGAGAUAUUUCAUAUGUAGCACUGCCUGGUGGACCUCUUCAAAAUUUGUUCAAAUCAUGAUCCCCGGGAUAAAAUUGGCCCCGCCCCAUGGGGUUACUUGAUUGUACAUCGGAAAAUCUUCCUAAAAAAUUCUAAAAAUCAUCAAUUUGACAUCUAAAACAUGUGGCUCAUAUUACUCAGGUGAGCGAUCCAGGGUCAUAAUGACCCUCUUGUUUUGUAUACACAUUAAAAUAACAAGAUGUGAAUAAAAUCUAGUAAUACAGACAUUACAAGUUGUUAACAAAAUAUAUUUUUCAUACAAGCUUGUAAAUUUAUUGUCAGUAACAUAAUGUCAUAGUUCUUAUGUGACAUCAAGUGAAACAUCUAUGUGAGCAUAAUGUCAUAGUUCUUAUGUGACUUCAAAUGAAAUGUCUUUGUGAGCAUAAUGUCACAGUUCUUAUGUGAGAGCAAGUGAAAUGUCUGUGUGAGCAAAAUGAUAUUGUUCUUAUGUGACAACAAGUGAAAUGUCAUAGUUCUGAUGUGACAAUGUAUGAAAUGUCUGUGUGAGCAUAAUGUCAUAAUUCUUAUGUGACAACAAGUGAAAUAUCUUUGUGAGCACAAUGUCAUAAUUCUUAUGAGACAUCAAGUGAAAUGUCUGUGUGAGCAUAAUGUCAUAGUUCUUAUGUGAUGUCAAAUGAAAUGUCUGUGUGAGCAUAAUGUCAUAGUUCUUAUGUGAUGUCAAAUGAAAUGUCUGUGAGAGCAUAAUGUCAUAGUUCUUUUGUGGUGUCAAAUGAAAUGUCUGUGUGAGCAUAAUGUCAUAGUUCUUAUGAGACAUCAAGUGAAAUGUCUGUGUGAGCACAAUGUCAUAGUUCUUAUGUGAUAUCAAAUGAAAUGUCUUUGUGAGCAUAAUGUCAUAGUUCUUAUGUGACUUCAAGUGAAAUGCCUGUGUGAGCACAAUGUCAUAGUUCUUAUGUGAUAUCAAAUGAAAUGUCUGUGUGAGCAUAAUGUCAUAGUUCAUAUGUGACAUCAAGUGAAAUGCCUGUGUGAGCACAAUGUCAUAGUUCUUAUGUGAUAUCAAAUGAAAUGUCUGUGUGAGCAUAAUGUCAUAGUUCUUAGGCCUAAAAAAAAAGUU
Molecule: long non-coding RNA, 2980 nt
Organism: Mercenaria mercenaria
Lineage: Eukaryota; Metazoa; Mollusca; Bivalvia; Venerida; Veneridae
Exons: 5
Source: RefSeq, a predicted model, not a curated record